UGGGGAAUUUUGGACAAUGGGGGAAACCCUGAUCCAGCCAUCCCGCGUGUGCGAUGAAGGCCUUCGGGUUGUAAAGCACUUUUGGCAGGAAAGAAACGUCAUGGGUUAAUACCCCGUGAAACUGACGGUACCUGCAGAAUAAGCACCGGCUAACUACGUGCCAGCAGCCGCGGUAAUACGUAGGGUGCAAGCGUUAAUCGGAAUUACUGGACGUAAAGCGUGCGCAGGCGGUUCGGAAAUAAAGAUGUGAAAUCCCAGAGCUCAACUUUGGAACUGCAUUUUUAACUACCGGGCUAGAGUGUGUCAGAGGGAGGUGGAAUUCCGCGUGUAGCAGUGAAAUGCGUAGAUAUGCGGAGGAACACCGAUGGCGAAGGCAGCCUCCUGGGAUAACACUGACGCUCAUGCACGAAAGCGUGGGGAGCAAACAGG
RNAcentral lists this ribosomal RNA (429 nucleotides) under Acidobacteriota bacterium. Its description in RNAcentral is "Acidobacteria bacterium partial 16S ribosomal RNA". It matches the Rfam family "Bacterial small subunit ribosomal RNA", at positions 355 to 776 of the family's 1533-position model. Lineage: Bacteria; Pseudomonadati; Acidobacteriota. The record is from RNAcentral.